Paramuricea clavata is the source of this 335-nucleotide non-coding RNA. The record is from the annotation of a GenBank genome assembly. NCBI's taxonomy places the organism in Eukaryota, Metazoa, Cnidaria, Anthozoa, Malacalcyonacea, Plexauridae.
AGGUAUUCGAGUGGUCAGUAACGCUGGUGGUAUCAAUCCUCACGCAUGCGCAAAGGCAAUUCGCGACGUUGCUAAAAAGAGCGGUGUGGAAGAUUUAAAAAUUGCUGUCCUCACUGGUGAUAAUCUCUUAGGCAAAGUAAAUAAAUGAAUUUGUUUCACGUUUUUAGAUUUUGCAAAACAUUGUGCCCAAACUUCCACUGCGCUUCUUUAUUCUUUUGCAUUUUACUCUUUCUUUUCCGUCACAAGAUUGAUGAGAAUACACUUGGAGGAAUUAAAGAAAUGGACAGUGGGAUAUCAUUACCAGAGCAAAUGCACAGUAUGAACGCUUACAUCGG